AUUGAACGCUGGCGGCAGGCCUAACACAUGCAAGUCGAACGAGUGGCGGAAGGGUGAGUAAGGUAUGGGAAACUGCCCGAAGGAGGGGGAUAACUACUGGAAACGGUGGCUAAUACCGCAUACCAUGGGAUGUGACCAGAUGGGAUUAGAUAGUAGGUGGGGUAACGGCUAACCUAGGAGACGAGCCCUAGCUGGUCUGCGAGGAUGACCGGCCACACUGCAACUGAUACACGGUCCAGACUCCUACGGUAGGAAGCAGGGGGGAAUAUUGCACAAUGGGCGCAAUCCUGAUGAAGCCAUGCCGCGUGUAUGAAGAAGGCCUUCGGGUUGUAAAGUACUUUCAGCGAGGAGGCGUUACUCGCAGAAGAAGCACCGGCUAACUCCGUGCCAGCAGCCGCGGUAAUUC
Molecule: ribosomal RNA, 406 nt
Filed under: uncultured bacterium
Lineage: Bacteria
Description: partial 16S ribosomal RNA
Rfam family: Bacterial small subunit ribosomal RNA
Source: RNAcentral